GCACCUUCUCCUACUCUUGUCCUCAGGACCUGCCCAAGACCGCAGCCCCCCAGUACCACCCCUGCCUAGAGAACCGGGCUCUCAGGACACCCCUCCAGGACCCCAGAGGCGAGGUGGAGGUGGGCUGGAAGAGGUGGCCCCCCAGUUCUGACUGGAGCCACCUUCCUGGGCAGUCCCACUGGAAACCAGAGGUGGGAGCCUGGGCUCUGCAGGCAGGGCAGCUGGCUGCUGGGGUGCAGCCAGGCAGACACGAGAGAGGGAAGAGAGAGAAGAACCAGCCAGCCAGCCAAAGCUGACCCCCAGGUCCUCCCACAGCAUCAUGGCAGGGGGGUGCCCACCUGCCUCGUAACCAUUCCAAAUUCAGUAGUAAGGGAAGCUCCUUUCUCUGUCCUUAGUCUGUGGGGGGUUUGGGUGGGCCUCACUCACCCUUACCCAGGGGGUCAGCAGGGCACCCAGGCCUUGGCCAGUGAGACCAGUCUGUUCCCUUAGCCUCGAGGCCUUUGCUGAAGCUCACAGGGAAGGGGGAUUUCUCUGCUGGAAGGGGUGGACUGCCAUCUGUUGCCUGAAGAUGUUGUGUGGGAAGAGCUGGUCUGAGAAUGAAGCCAGCCCCUGAGAGAUGCAAGAAACCCGGCCGAGGGUUUGCUCCAAACGUCUGGAUCCAGCCUCGUCCGAAGCAAGGAGUCCCCGGAACUUCAAAGUCACUGGACGCAGAAAAACUCCUUUUGUGUGAAGUCGAAACACCAGCUUUCCAGCUGUUGAACGUCAGAGUCCCACCAGACGCAUGACCCACAGGCCCUAAGUAGGCACCACCACUGUCACCAACCCCACCUCCCACUGCUCCACCCUGACCCCUUCUCCGUUUUCUUUUUUUUUUUUUUUUGAAGAUUUUAUUUCUUUAUUGGACAGAGAGAGAGACAGCGAGAGAGGGCACACAAGCAGGGGGAGUGGGAGAGCGGGGCUGGACCCCAGGACCCUGGGAUCACGCCCUGAGCCAAAGGCAAACGCUCCACGACUGAGCCACCCAGGCGCCCCAGACCCCUUCUCUUUCUUAAAC
This 1054-nucleotide long non-coding RNA is filed under the name Ursus maritimus (polar bear). RNAcentral's name for it is "lncRNA (ENSUMAG00000001722.1)". The record is from RNAcentral. Lineage: Eukaryota; Metazoa; Chordata; Mammalia; Carnivora; Ursidae.